This 1275-nucleotide long non-coding RNA is filed under the name Anolis carolinensis (green anole). Its description in RNAcentral is "lncRNA (ENSACAG00000042542.1)". Lineage: Eukaryota; Metazoa; Chordata; Lepidosauria; Squamata; Anolidae. The record is from RNAcentral.
AAGAAAGAAUAAGAUAAGCUGAUUAUUAUUAUAUUCACAGCCCCAAAUGAACAUUAGUAUGAUGGAUUCAGUAAGACAGGGGCAUAUGGUUAUUGGCACUGUGAACUGUAAAUGAGCAAAGACAAUACUACUGCUUUCAAUCUGUAGUUUUUGUACUUUGUGAACAAUCACCAUCUUAUUUAUUAGUGUUCAUCGCCCUCUUCUGGUCAUAUAUUGCAAUUUUUCACAUAUUUGAAUGGAGGGAAAAAGAAUGGAAGCAAAUGAAAGAAAGAAAUUAGCAAAACAAUUUUGGCUAUUAAACUCUGAUGCACAGAAUAACUGAGUUUUCCCUAAGACUUAUGCGCAGAGAGUUUCGCACAUGUUGGUCAUGAAGAAAUCAGCACAAAAAGCAAAAGUAGCUAUUCACUUUGGGAAUUAAUAACCUAAAAUCACCAGAGCUUGGAAACUAAGUAGGCUGCUGGAGAAGACCAGGUUAUAUCCACAGGAAGGCAAUGGCAUUCUAUCUCUGGGUACUUCUUGCCUAAGUAAACCCUAUGAAAUUCAUGGAGUUGCCAUAGUUUAACAGGCAACUUGAAAGCACAUUCUAAUAUAAUAUAAUCCCCCUACCCAUGGGGAAUACUUUUGUGGAUAUGUGAAACUGUGAAUAAUAGUAAAUUCUAUUGUACUCGUCUUAUGGAAAUGUGCCUACUAACCAUUUUGGCAAAAGAAACAAAUCAAAAGUGCAUAUUAGAACAAUGUCUUCUUUAGUCUAACUAAAAAGGCCACAACGUAGGAAUGUGCCACUUUGAGUUUUCCACAACUCUUCAGAUUAGAUAGUAAACAAACCAAGAUAUUAAAAGACUGUAGCCAUCAAGUUUGUAUUUAGCCAUAAUCUUAAAAUGGAACAAUGAAAACAAAAUAGCUCCCUGGAUCACCCAAAACGAUGCUUUAUCAUCAAGAAAUAUCUCACGGCCUUUACAGAAAACAUCUAGAGGUAGGCAUUCCUUUAUGCCUGAAGUGCCACUUCUGACCUUUUUGAGUGUCUGGACGAGGAAAUGACAGUGACCAAGAUUAGCUGGCCUCCUGAGUUGGCAUUGAUGCUUUUCCCUCUCUGAGGAACAACUCUCUUGACUUAUCAAUGGGUUAUAUUAAAAUCCAUAAUUUUGACCAUAAAAUCUCCCAUUUAUGUAUAAGAUAAAGGUUUCCCCUUGACAUUAAGUGUAGUUGAGUCUGACUCUGGGGGAUGGUGCUCAUCUCCAUUUCUAAGCCAAAGAUCCGGCGUUGUCUGUAGACACC